Ictidomys tridecemlineatus (thirteen-lined ground squirrel) is the source of this 69-nucleotide non-coding RNA. NCBI's taxonomy places the organism in Eukaryota, Metazoa, Chordata, Mammalia, Rodentia, Sciuridae. The record is from Rfam.
GGGGUUGUAGCUCAGUGGUAGAGCGCUUGCCUAGCAAGUGUUAGGCACUGGGUUUGAUCCUCAGCACCA